ACACCGUUCAAUUUGUGCGACAGAAACUUAUGCAGCUUCCGUCUCACGCUAUUGUAUGGAAACGGUUGAAUACCGCUUGUAGUUACUUUCUUGCCCUAGAGUUGAACUAGUAAAAGGUGCCCAUGUUGCGAGUGCAGUCGUAACGCUUUGGCGUUGGAUCCGAGCCCAUGGAGAAAGUUGGAGCUGUAGAGCUGUAUGUUUCUGGACAAAGUCAUCAAUUCCAUUGCUCUUCCUAUGCCAAGUGGCCAGGAUAAUGGUUGAAAUUGCUACAAUAAAGGUUAUGAUCAACAAC
This is a long non-coding RNA of Rhipicephalus sanguineus (brown dog tick), 292 nucleotides long. RefSeq lists it as uncharacterized. The transcript has 3 exons. The record is from RefSeq and is a predicted model, not a curated record. NCBI's taxonomy places the organism in Eukaryota, Metazoa, Arthropoda, Arachnida, Ixodida, Ixodidae.